GAUGAACGCUGGCGGCGUGCCUAAUACAUGCAAGUCGAGCGAACAGACGAGGAGCUUGCUCCUCUGACGUUAGCGGCGGACGGGUGAGUAACACGUGGAUAACCUACCUAUAAGACUGGGAUAACUUCGGGAAACCGGAGCUAAUACCGGAUAAUAUAUUGAACCGCAUGGUUCAAUAGUGAAAGAGGGUUUUGCUGUCACUUAGAGAUGGAUCCGCGCCGCAUUAGCUAGUUGGUAAGGUAACGGCUUACCAAGGCAACGAUGCGUAGCCGACCUGAGAGGGUGAUCGCGCACAAUGGAACUGAGACACGGUCCAGACUCCUACGGGAGGCAGCAGUAGGGAAUCUUACGCAAUGGGCGAAAGACUGACGGAGCAACGCCGCGUGAGUGAUGAAGGUCUUCGGAUCGUAAAACUCUGUUAUUAGGGAAGAACAAAUGUGUAAGUAACUAUGCACGUCUUGACGGUACCUAAUCAGAAAGCCACGGCUAACCACGUG
RNAcentral lists this ribosomal RNA (497 nucleotides) under uncultured bacterium. Its description in RNAcentral is "partial 16S ribosomal RNA". It matches the Rfam family "Bacterial small subunit ribosomal RNA", at positions 28 to 507 of the family's 1533-position model. The record is from RNAcentral.